This 35-nucleotide non-coding RNA is filed under the name Alexandrium monilatum. The record is from RNAcentral. Lineage: Eukaryota; Dinophyceae; Gonyaulacales; Pyrocystaceae.
CGGAAGGCAGCAGCGAUGACGAGGUUCUGGCGGUG